UACGUAGGGUGCGAGCGUUAAUCGGAAUUACUGGGCGUAAAGCGUGCGCAGGCGGUUUUGUAAGCCGGAUGUGAAAUCCCCGGGCUUAACCUGGGAAUGGCAUUCGGGACUGCAAGGCUGGAGUGCGGCAGAGGAGACUGGAAUUCCUGGUGUAGCAGUGAAAUGCGUAGAUAUCAGGGGGAACACCGAUGGCGAAGGCAGGUCUCUGGGCUGACACUGACGCUCAUGCACGAAAGCCAGGGGAGCGAACGGG
Molecule: ribosomal RNA, 253 nt
Filed under: uncultured bacterium
Lineage: Bacteria
Description: partial 16S ribosomal RNA
Rfam family: Bacterial small subunit ribosomal RNA
Source: RNAcentral